UGGGGAAUAUUGCGCAAUGGGGGCAACCCUGACGCAGCAACGCCGCGUGUGUGAUGAAGGCCUUCGGGUCGUAAAGCACUGUCGGGUGGAACGAGCCGCCGGAGGUGAAUAGCCUUCGGCCCGACGGUACCACCUGAGGAAGCACCGGCUAACUCCGUGCCAGCAGCCGCGGUAAUACGGAGGGUGCAAGCGUUGUUCGGAAUUAUUGGGCGUAAAGCGCGUGUAGGCGGACAGUUAAGUCCGGUGUGAAAUCCCUCGGCUCAACUGAGGACGUGCACUGGAUACUGGCGGUCUUGAAUCCUGGAGAGGGUAGCGGAAUUCCCAGUGUAGAGGUGAAAUUCGUAGAUAUUGGGAGGAACACCGGUGGCGAAGGCGGCUACCUGGACAGUGAUUGACGCUGAGACGCGAAAGCAUGGGUAGCAAACAGG
This 428-nucleotide ribosomal RNA is filed under the name uncultured bacterium. RNAcentral's name for it is "bacterial SSU rRNA". It matches the Rfam family "Bacterial small subunit ribosomal RNA", at positions 355 to 776 of the family's 1533-position model. The record is from RNAcentral.